AACGCACAUUGCGCCCCCUGGUAUUCCGGGGGGCAUGCCUGUCCGAGCGUCAUUACAACCCUCAAGCCUAGCUUGGUGUUGGGCUCCGCCGCCUGGCGGGCCCUAAAGUCAGUGGCGGUGCCGUCCAGCUCCGAGCGUAGUAAUUCUUCUCGCUCUGGAGGCCUGGGCGCGUGCUUGCCAGUAACCCCCCAAUUUUAUCAGGUUGACCUCGGAUCAGGUAGGGAUACCCGCUGAACUUAA
Molecule: unclassified non-coding RNA, 240 nt
Filed under: uncultured Ascomycota
Lineage: Eukaryota; Fungi; Ascomycota
Description: sequence contains ITS2
Rfam family: 5.8S ribosomal RNA (bases 1-52)
Source: RNAcentral